RNAcentral lists this ribosomal RNA (467 nucleotides) under uncultured bacterium. RNAcentral describes it as "bacterial SSU rRNA". It matches the Rfam family "Bacterial small subunit ribosomal RNA", at positions 330 to 795 of the family's 1533-position model. The record is from RNAcentral.
UCCAGACUCCUACGGGAGGCAGCAGUGAGGAAUAUUGGUCAAUGGCCGAGAGGCUGAACCAGCCAAGUCGCGUGAGGGAAGACGGCCCUACGGGUUGUAAACCUCUUUUGUCGGGGAGCAAAGCGAGUCACGUGUGACUCAUUGAGAGUACCCGAAGAAAAAGCAUCGGCUAACUCCGUGCCAGCAGCCGCGGUAAUACGGAGGAUGCGAGCGUUAUCCGGAUUUAUUGGGUUUAAAGGGUGCGUAGGCGGAAUGCCAAGUCAGCGGUAAAAUCGCGGGGCUCAACCUCGCUCCGCCGUUGAAACUGGCGUUCCUGAGUGGGCGAGAAGUAUGCGGAAUGCGUGGUGUAGCGGUGAAAUGCAUAGAUAUCACGCAGAACUCCGAUUGCGAAGGCAGCAUACCGGCGCCCAACUGACGCUGAAGCACGAAAGCGUGGGGAUCGAACAGGAUUAGAUACCCGCGUAGGC